RNAcentral lists this ribosomal RNA (301 nucleotides) under uncultured bacterium. RNAcentral describes it as "partial 16S ribosomal RNA". It matches the Rfam family "Bacterial small subunit ribosomal RNA", at positions 509 to 807 of the family's 1533-position model. The record is from RNAcentral.
CAGUAGCCGCGGGAAUACGAAGGGGGCUAGCGUUGCUCGGAAUGACAGGGCGUAAAGGGCGCGUAGGCGGCGAUCAAAGUCAGGCGUGAAAUUCCUGGGCUCAACCUGGGGGCUGCGUUUGAUACUUGAUUGCUAGAGUGGGGAAGAGGGUCGUGGAAUUCCCAGUGUAGAGGUGAAAUUCGUAGAUAUUGGGAAGAACACCGGUGGCGAAGGCGGCGACCUGGUCCUUGACUGACGCUGAGGCGCGAAAGCGUGGGGAGCAAACAGGAUUAGAUACCCCUGUAGUCCCUGUCUCUUAUAC